Molecule: ribosomal RNA, 332 nt
Filed under: uncultured bacterium
Lineage: Bacteria
Description: bacterial SSU rRNA
Rfam family: Bacterial small subunit ribosomal RNA
Source: RNAcentral
CGCGUAGGUGGUAGUGUAAGUCUGGGGUGGAAUCCCAGGGCUUAACCCUGGAACUGCCUUGGAAACUGUAUUACUUGAGUCAGUGAGGGGAGGGUAGAAUUCCUGGUGUAGCGGUGAAAUGCGUAGAUAUCAGGAGGAAGGCCUGUGGCGAAGGCGGCCCUCUGGCGCUGGACUGACACUGAGGCGCGAAAGCGUGGGGAGCAAACAGGAUUAGAUACCCUGGUAGUCCACGCCCUAAACGGUGGGCACUAGGUGUAGGGCUCGUAAGGGUUCUGUGCCGAAGGGAACCAUUAAGUGCCCCCGCUGGGGGAGUACGGGCCGCGAAGGUUGAA